GCAAGUCGAACGGUAACAUUUCUAGCUUGCUAGAAGAUGACGAGUGGCGGACGGGUGAGUAAUGCUUGGGAACUUGCCUUUGCGAGGGGGAUAACAGUUGGAAACGACUGCUAAUACCGCAUAAUGUCUUCGGACCAAACGGGGCUUCGGCUUCGGCGCAAAGAGAGGCCCAAGUGAGAUUAGCUAGUUGGUAAGGUAACGGCUUACCAAGGCGACGAUCUCUAGCUGUUCUGAGAGGAAGAUCAGCCACACUGGGACUGAGGCACGGCCCAGACUCCUACGGGAGGCAGCAGUGGGGAAUAUUGCACAAUGGGGGAAACCCUGAUGCAGCCAUGCCGCGUGUGUGAAGAAGGCCUUCGGGUUGUAAAGCACUUUCAGUUGUGAGGAAAAGUUAGUAGUUAAUACCUGCUAGCCGUGACGUUAACAACAGAAGAAGCACCGGCUAACUCCGUGCCAGCAGCCGCGGUAAUACGGAGGGUGCGAGCGUUUAUCGGAAUUACUGGGCGUAAAACGCACG
This 517-nucleotide ribosomal RNA is filed under the name uncultured bacterium. RNAcentral's name for it is "bacterial SSU rRNA". It matches the Rfam family "Bacterial small subunit ribosomal RNA", at positions 57 to 571 of the family's 1533-position model. The record is from RNAcentral.